Non-coding RNA from Cicer arietinum (chickpea), 83 nucleotides. Lineage: Eukaryota; Viridiplantae; Streptophyta; Magnoliopsida; Fabales; Fabaceae. The record is from Rfam.
UGGCUAUGAUGAUAGAGAUGUCAUGCACCACUCUGAUUUUACAGUGCUGAUAGUUUUCUCAUACCCAUUAUAUAUCUGAGCCU